Molecule: transfer RNA, 64 nt
Filed under: Eucorysses grandis
Lineage: Eukaryota; Metazoa; Arthropoda; Insecta; Hemiptera; Scutelleridae
Description: tRNA-Arg
Source: RNAcentral
AGAUAUUGAAGUAAUAAUUACAAUUAGUUUCGACCUAAUUUAAGAGAUAAAUUCUCCUUAUCUA